UAGGGAAUCUUUCCACAAUGGACGAAAGUCUGAUGGAGCAACGCCGCGUGAGUGAAGAAGGGUUUCGGCUCGUAAAGCUCUGUUGGUAGUGAAGAAAGAUAGAGGUAGUAACUGGCCUUUAUUUGACGGUAAUUACUUAGAAAGUCACGGCUAACUACGUGCC
Molecule: ribosomal RNA, 163 nt
Filed under: uncultured bacterium
Lineage: Bacteria
Description: partial 16S ribosomal RNA
Rfam family: Bacterial small subunit ribosomal RNA
Source: RNAcentral